Molecule: ribosomal RNA, 497 nt
Filed under: uncultured bacterium
Lineage: Bacteria
Description: partial 16S ribosomal RNA
Rfam family: Bacterial small subunit ribosomal RNA
Source: RNAcentral
GAUGAACGCUGGCGGCGUGCCUAAUACAUGCAAGUCGAGCGAACGGACGAGAAGCUUGCUUUUCUGAUGUUAGCGGCGGACGGGUGAGUAACACGUGGAUAACCUACCUAUAAGACUGGGAUAACUUCGGGAAACCGGAGCUAAUACCGGAUAAUAUUUUGAACCGCAGGGUUCAAAAGUGAAAGACGGUCUUGCUGUCACUUAUAGAUGGAUCCGCGCUGCAUUAGCUAGUUGGUAAGGUAACGGCUUACCAAGGCAACGAUGCAUAGCCGACCUGAGAGGGUGAUCGGCCACACUGGAACUGAGACACGGUCCAGACUCCUACGGGAGGCAGCAGUAGGGAAUCUUCCGCAAUGGGCGAAAGCCUGACGGAGCAACGCCGCGUGAGUGAUGAAGGUCUUCGGAUCGUAAAACUCUGUUAUUAGGGAAGAACAUAUGUGUAAGUAACUGUGCACAUCUUGACGGUACCUAAUCAGAAAGCCCCGGCUAACUACGUG